This 108-nucleotide ribosomal RNA is filed under the name Acanthosepion pharaonis. Lineage: Eukaryota; Metazoa; Mollusca; Cephalopoda; Sepiida; Sepiidae. The record is from RNAcentral.
GCCAUAUCACAUUGAAACACUAGUUCCUGUACAAUCACAGAAGUUAAGAAACAUUGAGCCUGGUCAGCACGUAAAUGGGUGACUGCUUGGGAAUACCAGGUGCUGUAC